Molecule: ribosomal RNA, 497 nt
Filed under: uncultured bacterium
Lineage: Bacteria
Description: partial 16S ribosomal RNA
Rfam family: Bacterial small subunit ribosomal RNA
Source: RNAcentral
GAUGAACGCUGGCGGCGUGCCUAAUACAUGCAAGUCGAGCGAACAGACGAGGAGCUUGCUCCUCUGACGUUAGCGGUGGACGGGUGAGUAACACGUGGAUAACCUCCCUAUAAGACUGGGAUAACUUCGGGAAACCGGAGCUAAUACCGGAUAACAUGUUGAACCGCAUGGUUCAACAGUGAAAGACGGUCUUGCUGUCACUUAUAGAUGGAUCCGCGCCGCAUUAGCUAGUUGGUAAGGUAACGGCUUACCAAGGCAACGAUGCGUAGCCGACCUGAGAGAGUGAUCGGCAACACUGGAACUGAGACACGGUCCAGACUCCUACGGGAGGCAGCAGUGGGGAAUCUUCGGCAUUGGGCGAAAGCCUGACGGAGCAACGCCGCGUGAGUGAAGAAGGUCUUCGGAUCGUAAAACUCUGUUAUUAGGGAAGAAGAACUGUGUAAGUAACGAUGCACGGCUUGACGGUACCUAAUCAGAAAGCCACGGCUAACUACGUG